GUAAAUGGUAAAGCAAGGUAUUGCAAGAAAGAUAACUGAUAAUCUCUUAGUAGUUAACAAGACAAUUUAAAAAGCAAUAAAAUUAUUACUAUAACCAAUUAUUACAAAUAUGCAGCUGAAGAAUGUGCCAAGCCAGACCACAGCAGGUCCACAUCAUGCUGACAUGAAUCAGGCAUUUUUGUUAUAUAAGAAAAGAAAAAGAAGAAAGAAAGUAAUGAGAUAAAUGCACAACUCUAAAGAAUUUUGGCAUCUUUCCUGCCACCAAAUCCUCUCCAUU
Molecule: unclassified non-coding RNA, 277 nt
Filed under: Hevea brasiliensis (rubber tree)
Lineage: Eukaryota; Viridiplantae; Streptophyta; Magnoliopsida; Malpighiales; Euphorbiaceae
Source: RNAcentral